This 1470-nucleotide ribosomal RNA is filed under the name metagenome. RNAcentral's name for it is "bacterial SSU rRNA". It matches the Rfam family "Bacterial small subunit ribosomal RNA". The record is from RNAcentral.
AGAGUUUGAUCAUGGCUCAGGACGAACGCUGGCGGCACGCUUAACACAUGCAAGUCGAACGAGAGAAGAGGAGCUUGCUUUUCUGAUCUAGUGGCGGACGGGUGAGUAACACGUGAGCAAUCUGCCUUUCAGAGGGGGAUACCGAUUGGAAACGAUCGUUAAUACCGCAUAACAUAAUUGAACCGCAUGAUUUGAUUAUCAAAGAUUUAUCGCUGAAAGAUGAGCUCGCGUCUGAUUAGCUAGUUGGUAAGGUAACGGCUUACCAAGGCGACGAUCAGUAGCCGGACUGAGAGGUUGAUCGGCCACAUUGGGACUGAGACACGGCCCAGACUCCUACGGGAGGCAGCAGUGGGGAAUAUUGCGCAAUGGAGGAAUCUCUGAUGCAGCGAUGCCGCGUGAGGGAAGAAGGUUUUAGGAUUGUAAACCUCUGUCUUCAGGGACGAAAAAAGACGGUACCUGAGGAGGAAGCUCCGGCUAACUACGUGCCAGCAGCCGCGAUAAUACGUAGGGAGCGAGCGUUGUCCGGAAUUACUGGGUGUAAAGGGAGCGUAGGCGGGAUCGCAAGUCAGAUGUGAAAACUAUGGGCUUAACCCAUAAACUGCAUUUGAAACUGUGGUUCUUGAGUGAAGUAGAGGUAAGCGGAAUUCCUAGUGUAGCGGUGAAAUGCGUAGAUAUUAGGAGGAACAUCAGUGGCGAAGGCGGCUUACUGGGCUUUAACUGACGCUGAGGCUCGAAAGCGUGGGGAGCAAACAGGAUUAGAUACCCUGGUAGUCCACGCCGUAAACGAUGAUUACUAGGUGUGGGGGGACUGACCCCUUCCGUGCCGCAGCAAACGCAAUAAGUAAUCCACCUGGGGAGUACGACCGCAAGGUUGAAACUCAAAGGAAUUGACGGGGGCCCGCACAAGCAGUGGAGUAUGUGGAUUAAUUCGAAGCAACGCGAAGAACCUUACCAGGUCUUGACAUCGUAUGCAUAGCUCAGAGAUGAGUGAAAUCUCUUCGGAGACAUAUAGACAGGUGGUGCAUGGUUGUCGUCAGCUCGUGUCGUGAGAUGUUGGGUUAAGUCCCGCAACGAGCGCAACCCUUACUGUUAGUUGCUACGCAAGAGCACUCUAGCAGGACUGCCGUUGACAAAACGGAGGAAGGUGGGGAUGACGUCAAAUCAUCAUGCCCCUUAUGACCUGGGCCUCACACGUACUACAAUGGCUGUCAACAGAGGGAAGCAAAGCCGCGAGGUGGAGCGAACCCCUAAAAGCAGUCUUAGUUCGGAUUGUAGGCUGCAACCCGCCUACAUGAAGUCGGAAUUGCUAGUAAUCGCAGAUCAGCAUGCUGCGGUGAAUACGUUCCCGGGCCUUGUACACACCGCCCGUCACGCCAUGGGAGUCGGUAACACCCGAAGCCUGUAGUCUAACCGCAAGGAGGACGCAGUCGAAGGUGGGAUUGAUGACUGGGGUGAAGUCGUAACAAGGUA